UACGGGGGGGGCAAGCGUUGUUCGGAAUUACUGGGCGUAAAGGGCUCGUAGGCGGCCAGGUAGGUCGGUUGUGAAAACUGGAGGCUCAACCUUCAGAGGUCGACCGAAACCAUCUGGCUAGAGUCCGGGAGAGGAGAGUGGAAUUCCUGGUGUAGCGGUGAAAUGCGCAGAUAUCAGGAAGAACACCCGUGGCGAAAGCGGCUCUCUGGAACGGUACUGACGCUGAGGCGCGAAAGCUAGGGGAGCGAACGGG
This 253-nucleotide ribosomal RNA is filed under the name uncultured bacterium. RNAcentral describes it as "partial 16S ribosomal RNA". It matches the Rfam family "Bacterial small subunit ribosomal RNA", at positions 524 to 776 of the family's 1533-position model. The record is from RNAcentral.